This 604-nucleotide ribosomal RNA is filed under the name uncultured Gammaproteobacteria bacterium. RNAcentral's name for it is "bacterial SSU rRNA". It matches the Rfam family "Bacterial small subunit ribosomal RNA", at positions 55 to 648 of the family's 1533-position model. Lineage: Bacteria; Pseudomonadati; Pseudomonadota; Gammaproteobacteria. The record is from RNAcentral.
AUGCAAGUCGAACGGUAACAGGAAGAAGCUUGCUUCUUUGCUGACGAGUGGCGGACGGGUGAGUAAUGUCUGGGAAACUGCCUGAUGGAGGGGGAUAACUACUGGAAACGGUAGCUAAUACCGCAUAACGUCGCAAGACCAAAGAGGGGGACCUUCGGGCCUCUUGCCAUCGGAUGUGCCCAGAUGGGAUUAGCUAGUAGGUGGGGUAACGGCUCACCUAGGCGACGAUCCCUAGCUGGUCUGAGAGGAUGACCAGCCACACUGGAACUGAGACACGGUCCAGACUCCUACGGGAGGCAGCAGUGGGGAAUAUUGCACAAUGGGCGCAAGCCUGAUGCAGCCAUGCCGCGUGUAUGAAGAAGGCCUUCAGGUUGUAAAGUACUUUCAGCGGGGAGGAAGGGAGUAAAGUUAAUACCUUUGCUCAUUGACGUUACCCGCAGAAGAAGCACCGGCUAACUCCGUGCCAGCAGCCGCGGUAAUACGGAGGGUGCAAGCGUUAAUCGGAAUUACUGGGCGUAAAGCGCACGCAGGCGGUUUGUUAAGUCAGAUGUGAAAUCCCCGGGCUCAACCUGGGAACUGCAUCUGAUACUGGCAAGCUUGAGUC